CAGGAAGCCGGUGUGAAUCCGGCGCGGUCCCGCCACUGUGACCGGCCCGCGUCCGCGCGGUCCGCGAGCCAGGAACUG
This 78-nucleotide non-coding RNA is filed under the name Streptomyces silvensis. Lineage: Bacteria; Bacillati; Actinomycetota; Actinomycetes; Kitasatosporales; Streptomycetaceae. The record is from RNAcentral.